CCUACGGGGGGCAGCAGUGAGGAAUAUUGGUCAAUGGACGAGAGUCUGAACCAGCCAAGUAGCGUGAAGGAUGACUGCCCUAUGGGUUGUAAACUUCUUUUAUAUGGGAAUAAAACGUUCCACGUGUGGGAUUUUGUAUGUACCAUAUGAAUAAGGAUCGGCUAACUCCGUGCCAGCAGCCGCGGUAAUACGGAGGAUCCGAGCGUUAUCCGGAUUUAUUGGGUUUAAAGGGAGCGUAGGUGGAUUUUUAAGUCAGUUGUGAAAGUUUGCGGCUCAACCGUAAAAUUGCAGUUGAAACUGGCAGUCUUGAGUACAGUAGAGGUGGGCGGAAUUCGUGGUGUAGCGGUGAAAUGCUUAGAUAUCACGAAGAACUCCGAUUGCGAAGGCAGUUCACUGGACUGCAACUGACACUGAGGCUCGAAAGUGUGGGUAUCAAACAGGAUUAGAUACCCUGGUAGUC
This 460-nucleotide ribosomal RNA is filed under the name uncultured bacterium. RNAcentral describes it as "partial 16S ribosomal RNA". It matches the Rfam family "Bacterial small subunit ribosomal RNA", at positions 338 to 795 of the family's 1533-position model. The record is from RNAcentral.